AGAGUUUGAUCCUGGCUCAGGACGAACGCUGGCGGCGUGCCUAAUACAUGCAAGUAGAACGCUGAAGAGAGGAGCUUGCUCUUCUUGGAUGAGUUGCGAACGGGUGAGUAACGCGUAGGUAACCUGCCUUGUAGCGGGGGAUAACUAUUGGAAACGAUAGCUAAUACCGCAUAACAAUGGAUGACCCAUGUCAUUUAUUUGAAAGGGGCAAAUGCUCCACUACAAGAUGGACCUGCGUUGUAUUAGCUAGUAGGUGAGGUAACGGCUCACCUAGGCGACGAUACAUAGCCGACCUGAGAGGGUGAUCGGCCACACUGGGACUGAGACACGGCCCAGACUCCUACGGGAGGCAGCAGUAGGGAAUCUUCGGCAAUGGGGGCAACCCUGACCGAGCAACGCUGCGUGAGUGAAGAAGGUUUUCGGAUCGUAAAGCUCUGUUGUAAGUCAAGAACGAGUGUGAGAGUGGAAAGUUCACACUGUGACGGUAGCUUACCAGAAAGGGACGGCUAACUACGUGCCAGCAGCCGCGGUAAUACGUAGGUCCCGAGCGUUGUCCGGAUUUAUUGGGCGUAAAGCGAGCGCAGGCGGUUUGAUAAGUCUGAAGUUAAAGGCUGUGGCUCAACCAUAGUUCGCUUUGGAAACUGUCAAACUUGAGUGCAGAAGGGGAGAGUGGAAUUCCAUGUGUAGCGGUGAAAUGCGUAGAUAUAUGGAGGAACACCGGUGGCGAAAGCGGCUCUCUGGUCUGUAACUGACGCUGAGGCUCGAAAGCGUGGGGAGCGAACAGGAUUAGAUACCCUGGUAGUCCACGCCGUAAACGAUGAGUGCUAGGUGUUGGAUCCUUUCCGGGAUUCAGUGCCGCAGCUAACGCAUUAAGCACUCCGCCUGGGGAGUACGACCGCAAGGUUGAAACUCAAAGGAAUUGACGGGGGCCCGCACAAGCGGUGGAGCAUGUGGUUUAAUUCGAAGCAACGCGAAGAACCUUACAAGGUCUUGACAUCCCGAUGCUAUUUCUAGAGAUAGAAAGUUACUUCGGUACAUCGGUGACAGGUGGUGCAUGGUUGUCGUCAGCUCGUGUCGUGAGAUGUUGGGUUAAGUCCCGCAACGAGCGCAACCCCUAUUGUUAGUUGCCAUCAUUCAGUUGGGCACUCUAGCGAGACUGCCGGCAAUAAACCGGAGGAAGGUGGGGAUGACGUCAAAUCAUCAUGCCCCUUAUGACCUGGGCUACACACGUGCUACAAUGGUUGGUACAACGAGUUGCGAGUCGGUGACGGCAAGCUAAUCUCUUAAAGCCAAUCUCAGUUCGGAUUGUAGGCUGCAACUCGCCUACAUGAAGUCGGAAUCGCUAGUAAUCGCGGAUCAGCACGCCGCGGUGAAUACGUUCCCGGGCCUUGUACACACCGCCCGUCACACCACGAGAGUUUGUAACACCCGAAGUCGGUGAGGUAACCUUUUGGAGCCAGCCGCCUAAGGUGGGAUAGAUGAUUGGGGUGAAGUCGUAACAAGGUA
RNAcentral lists this ribosomal RNA (1506 nucleotides) under metagenome. RNAcentral describes it as "bacterial SSU rRNA". It matches the Rfam family "Bacterial small subunit ribosomal RNA". The record is from RNAcentral.